Molecule: ribosomal RNA, 546 nt
Filed under: uncultured Nitrososphaerota archaeon
Lineage: Archaea; Thermoproteati; Nitrososphaerota
Description: uncultured thaumarchaeote partial 16S ribosomal RNA
Source: RNAcentral
AUGUACUCACUACUUGUUCAUAGUAGUAGUUGCAGUUAACUCUACACUGUUAACAAUUAAUGCAGGAGACUACAUUUUCUAUACUGACUGGGCUUGGACAUCGUUUACGGUAUUUUCAAUAUCGCAAACUUUGUUGCUUUGCGUAGGUGCAACAUAUUACCUACCGUUUACCGGCGUUCCAGGUACAGCUACGUAUUACGCCUUAAUUUUUAAAGUAUACCAAUGGAAUACAAAACGUGAAUGGUUUUCUUUAGGUUAUCCCUUUGAUUUUUUUGGGCUACAAAGAAGAACAAACAUUCAUUGAUACUGUUUGGCGGUGUACUUGUAGGAAUGUCUUUACCAUUAUUCAACAUGGUAAACCUGAUAACAGUAGCAGACCCACUAGAAACGGCAUUCAAAUAUCCAAGACCAACAUUGCCACCAUACAUGACACCAAUAGAGCCUCAAGUAGGUAAAUUCUAUAACAGUCCAGUAGCACUGGGUGCAGGUGCUGGUGCAGUAUUGUCAGUUACGUUUACAGCAUUAGGUUGUAAGCUAAACACUUGG